This is an RNA transcript of Brachypodium distachyon (stiff brome), 2088 nucleotides long. It is a transcript of the gene named putative F-box/LRR-repeat protein 23, with no coding region annotated. Lineage: Eukaryota; Viridiplantae; Streptophyta; Magnoliopsida; Poales; Poaceae. The record is from RefSeq and is a predicted model, not a curated record. The transcript is spliced from 5 exons.
GCAGCUUCUCAAAAAAAUAAAAUAAAAUAAAAAAAUUCUAGAGAUAGCGCCUUGGCGGCCCUCAGUCGCCAUGCCCAGAUCUCGAUCUCUCUCUCUCCACCGCCCAACCUCUGCACCGUCCACCAGAACGAAGAAAUUGAAGGUGGUUGGCCCAACAGUGCAGCAGGCUGGUGGCUUCCCUCUGCCUUUUUCCGAUGGCGGCGUCGGCGCACGAGGCUGUGAUGGCGGUGGGUGGACUGCGGCGGCGGCAGGAGCACGUGGUUGUCAUGGAGCAGGCCAGUUGGGUGCGGCCGUUACUUUUGUUUGACCUCUGUUGCAGAGCAGCAGAGGUGCUGCUCGGCGCCGCCCCUGAUGACGCAGUAGCUGUGGCCGGCCGCCGCUGAGGAUCUCAAGGCUCGAGGUGCUCGGAGGUGCUUGCUCUGUAGCUACACCUCCUCCUCCGGUAGCACCGUGAGCAGCUCCAGCAAGGGUUGGGCAGGCAGAUGCUACAUUCUCCGACGAACAGGGACGCAAUGUGAUCAUGGAGCGGCACCAGGUGACUGGAUCUUUCACCGGAGCGAGAAGAAAAGGGGGAGCUUGAUGAGAGGUGUUUAUGCACCAAAGGUGUUCGAUGAAAUUACCAAGCGACGAGCAACUCUGGUUCAUUCUUGUGGUUCAAAGUGGUACGCAAGAUUAUUGUGGGGCUACUCAUGUCAAUUGGUGUCCUGCAGUCUAACGAUGUGUCAAGUUUCAUUUGAAGUGUCGAAGCUUUUGACAACAACAAGUCAUGACAACAAUAGUACCACAACAACAAGAUCACCUUCCUACGAGCAAUAGAUCCUAGGCAAGGUAGUGCUACAUGGCUUGUGGCUUGGAAUUGCUGAGGCAACGGUAUGCAUGGAUGUGUGCGUUACUUAUGCUAUAUAUCAUACGGAUGGUGUAUAGCACAGUCCGUAAAUAAAUAGAUAAAAAAUCGCUUUUGGAUUUAUUAGGCAAUUAAUAACAUACCCAAAAGCAGAUCGGCUUUCUAGAAUUCCACCACAAUACCUCACAGUUCCUGAACUCCCAAACGUACCCUGCAUCCUAACCACCGGCGACUGGUCAGGCGAAAACCCUCAAUCUUCCCAAGCGGCGUACGGAAGCCGGGAGCGAGCACCUUCUCGGCGGAAAUGCUGGCAACCUAAGAUUUCCGCUACUUCGUCGCUUCCCCACGAGCCCAUCAGAGAUUCUCUUUCGCUCCCAUGGAAAUGGAAACAGACUGGUCGAAGCUUCCUAUGGAUGUGCUCACUUUGAUCUUUGCUAAGCUUGGGCCUAUCGAGAUCCUCAUGGGUGCGGGCCUCGUUUGCCACCCAUGGCUUGAGGCUGCCAAGCUGCCUGAUCUCCUCUGGCGGUCCCUGGACAUGAAGCACCUGAACAGCAGCAACAAUGCCGUGCUCAAGAACGAACAUUUCCUGCGCGCAAUGGCGAGGAUGGCCGUGGACCGUGCCGAUGGACGGCUCGAGACGUUCGCGGCGGACAAUUUCGUCGACGCCGAGCCAAAAGGUCGCCAUCUCUCAAGAGCCUUAAGCUCGCCAACUGCAGCAUCACCAACACCAUACUGAUGGAUACCGUCGAUAGCUGUCCUCGCCUAGAGCUUCUUCAACUGAGCGACUGCUUCAUUUUCAAUCUCAACUGUUCCCUGUGCGCCAGGAUCAGGAAGCGGACGUUCAUUUGGAGCGCACGUGGGACUUGUAUUGAAUGUGGGAAACGUCUAAAGACAAACACAUCUCGAGAUGAAGUCAAAGAAUGGCUUGAUUCAACUUUCACUUUUUGAGAGUUGAUGGACUAAAUUGCUCUUGGAUGACAAGUUCAUGUACCGCGGACAUCUUUUACUUAUGUUCCAGAUUUAGAAUAUAGUAUUGCUUUCAGAUUUUUACCAGAUUUAUUUAUGUUCUUUAUUUCGUUUUUCAUUACCCCGUUUAAUUGGUCGCCCUCUAACGAGGUGGGCUGGUAGCCAUCAACGUAUUUAAACAACUAGCAGCAUGUUCUAGGAGGAAGUACGAACAUGUUAGGAAUAUGACUUUGAUAGUUAUAUAUGCUACUGAAAACAUACAUGAUAGUUUUCCUUAA